RNAcentral lists this ribosomal RNA (468 nucleotides) under uncultured bacterium. RNAcentral's name for it is "partial 16S ribosomal RNA". It matches the Rfam family "Bacterial small subunit ribosomal RNA", at positions 28 to 507 of the family's 1533-position model. The record is from RNAcentral.
GACGAACGCUGGCGGCGUGCUUAACACAUGCAAGUCGAACGGUGAAGCUCCAGCUUGCUGGCGUGGAUCAGUGGCGAACGGGUGAGUAACACGUGAGCAACCUGCCCCUGACUCUGGAAUAAGCGCUGGAAACGGCGUCUAAUACUGGAUACGAGAAGGGUCCGCAUGGGCACUUUCUGGAAAGUUUUUCGGUUGGGGAUGGGCUCGCGGCCUAUCAGCUUGUUGGUGAGGUAAUGGCUCCCCAAGGCGACGACGGGUAGCCGGCCUGAGAGGGCGAACGGCCACCCUGGGACUGCGGCACGGCCCAGACUGCUACCGGAGGCAGCAGGGGGGAAUAUUGCACAAUGGGGGAAAGCCAGAGGCAGCGACCCCCGGUUAGGGAAGCUGGGCUUCGGGUUGUAAACCUAUUUCUACAGGGAAGAAGCGAAAGUGACGGUACCUGCAGAAGAAGCACCGGCUAACUACGUG